GGGGGUGGCGGCGGCGGCGGCCGCGGGCGCGCGGGGCCCGGGCAGCCCCAGCCUCCUGGGAGUCGCCGGCCUGCUGAUCAACUCAGCGAUCGCGGCGGACCAAAGUUUGCGAAGAUGGGUUUCCCAAAGUGAACACCAAUCACAGUUAUAAAACGAACCUUGUAUUAUUCGCUGUUAUCCUCGGCAGUGAGCCAUGGGGUUGACUCCUGGGAUGGAAAGCAACUGUACGUCUGCCCUCUCGCUACCUCACACCCAACCCCACCGCCCCGCACUGUAAACAAAAAGAGUCAAGCCUCCAGAUGAGAAUGCAGACCAGAGGACACCUUAAUUUUGGCUUCGUGAAACCCCAAGCAGAGGACCCAGUUAAGCCAUGCCUGGACUCCUGACCCAGCAAAAUUUAUUUGAAGAGUUCCUCCGAGAUGACAGCAUAAGAAGACCCUGAACUCACCUCCCAUGGACACACUGAUUUUACACCUACAUACAGAGCAAUUUCUCCUGAAGAAGAACUGAGGGCUGAUUGAACAGCUUCUGCACAACCGACAAUAGAGGGACCACGCAGAGACAGUUGUCCUCAUUCUACUCUAAGCCUGUUUCUUCAACUGUAGAAAGAGAAUACAUGCCUACCACUCUGACACCUGAACUUAAAAGGCAAAUGCCCCAAAGGGAAGAGAUGAUCUGGUAUGACAUCAGAGAACCAUGAGAAUGAAAAUGUGAAAGCAUGUCAACAAAAAGAACCUGUGUUUUGGGAGGAGCUGGACUCAAAACUGACACAAGACCCAGAGCAGAGUCCAGUCCUCGAGUUCCACACAGCAUGUGACAAUGGGGAUGAACGCGCUGCCCCCUCCCUGGGAAGAUGAAAGUGCUCUGCGCGGACCUCCCUGGUGGCGCAGUGGUUAAGAAUCUGCCUGCCAGUUCAGGGGACACGGCUUCGAUCCCUGGUCCAGGAAGAUCCCACAUGCCGUGGAGCAACUAAGCCCAUGUGCCACAACUACUGAGCCUGUGCUCUAGAGCCCGAGCCACAACUGCUGAGCCUGCACGCCACAACUACUGAAGCCCGCGCUCCGCAACAAGAGAAGCCACUGCAAUGAGCAGCCCGUGCAUCACAACAAAGAGUAGCCCCUGCUCACCAGAACUAGAGAAAAGCCUGUGCACAGCAACGAAGACUCAACGCAGCCAAAAAUAAAAUAUAAAAUAAAUAAAUAAAUUUUUAAAAAAAGAAAGUGCUCUGUGCAGAAAGGUGCACUUCUCACCCCUCCUCUCUGCAGGAGUCUGAGGUGGGGACGUGAUUACGAGAAGGAAGCUCUCUGACUUUGCCCAUGGGUACUUACAGAACUUAGGCAGGAAUUAGGUGGGGACGUGGUGCUGCACAGAGCAGCCCAUUAGUUUCUCUAGGCUU
This is a long non-coding RNA of Balaenoptera ricei (Rice's whale), 1396 nucleotides long. RefSeq lists it as uncharacterized. The transcript has 5 exons. NCBI's taxonomy places the organism in Eukaryota, Metazoa, Chordata, Mammalia, Artiodactyla, Balaenopteridae. The record is from RefSeq and is a predicted model, not a curated record.